ACUAUGUUAGCAUGGCUGAUUCUGUCUCUGCCAACACUGGGGCUGUCCCUGAAGCAGCCCCCUGUGGUGGUGGUUGAGGAGGGGCAGCCUGUGAGACUCCCCUGUGACCAGGACAAGACCCCCAAAGCUGUCAUGAUCUGGUACCAGCAGAGGGGAAGCACCUUGCAGCUGCUGCUGUGGUCCUCUGGGCAGAACGUGGAGGUGGAAGCCCAAGGUCUGAUCAAGGGCUUCAGGGGGGACAGGAAGGGCUCCUCUCUGUCUCUGCACCUGGAGAAGUCUCAACUCUCUCACAGCGCUCUUUACUACUGUGCAGUCAAGUCUCUACACAGUGACAGAUCCACACCUGGGGCCAUGACAAAAACCUCCCACAGUCAGCCAACCAGGAAACUAACCAACUAA
Non-coding RNA from Osmerus eperlanus (European smelt), 399 nucleotides. The record is from the annotation of a RefSeq genome assembly. NCBI's taxonomy places the organism in Eukaryota, Metazoa, Chordata, Actinopteri, Osmeriformes, Osmeridae.